Non-coding RNA from Pelobates cultripes (western spadefoot toad), 1141 nucleotides. NCBI's taxonomy places the organism in Eukaryota, Metazoa, Chordata, Amphibia, Anura, Pelobatidae. The record is from the annotation of a GenBank genome assembly.
GGUAGAUGUACUUUAUACCAUAUCAUGACUUUUCUGGCGAUUUUCCUGGCCUUCUAUACCUGGGGCAUCUGGGGACCCUCUUUCCCCAUUUUCCUCCUUCUCCCCAGGGUCUCAUGGGGAUUCUGGGUCUGACUGGGGCUUAACCCCUUCCCUCCUGCGGUUCACGUUGGCUCCCGCCGGCUCCAGGGCAUUAACACCUUCUUCCGGCCUAUCCGUUCGACCCCUUCCUAAUACAACCCUCAGGGGGACGGCCGGACUCACUGCCAUCGCUCUCUAAGGCUGCCCCAUACCGUACACCCGGUAACGUGCUGGAUGCUUUCCAACACCGACUACCUUGGUGCAGGGCAGUCUGUGGGGUGACCACGAGGUAGCCCGAGCAUGACGCGGCGGCCUUCUUUGAUCCCGCGUCUAUUGAGACUCCAGGGACCAUGUUUCCCAUCCAUUACCCUCGGCGGCCAUCUUUAGUCUCGCGAGAUUAUGGGCGGCCGUUUUGCUACUCUCGCCCACCAUGAUUUCGGCGCUCGAGAGUAACAUAUACCUGGGCUGUCAGCUAGCCUAGCUGUUCUCGUGGCUUGGGGUCCCAAGUCCGAAUCCAGGCAAAGCUAAGUAUUCUAACUGCCUAUUAUUUUCAGAUUUGAGUCAUAGCACCCUCAAAUUCCUUAAAGAUACCAUUCUUGGACCCUUAGAGGGAACUCCUUAAAGGGAUACCACCGCGGUACUACUUAAAAGGAUACCACCCUGGAACUACUUAAAAGGGAUACCAAAUCCUUAAAGGGAUAUCACCCUUGAAUUCCUUAAAGGGAUAGCACCCUUGGACACAGACUAUCAAGAUGGUACUGUAUAAGUACAUAUCAGUGAUGGGAGAUUUGAAGGGAUAUCACCUGGAUCAGGAAUCUACAGCAAGACUCUGUCUGGUAAUGGAUGCUCAAAGGGAUGACCCCUAUCACUUAGACUACCUGUCAGAACACGACAGAUGACGGAGCUUAGAGCUAGUGCUAUAUCCUAUUAUCCCUCAGAUGUCAGUCACUUUUGUCUCAUUACUGCCAUAUUAGGCACUAAAGGGCUUAUUACCCUGUACCUGCCUGGGGUGCUGCCCCUAUUACCGUGCUGCUUUUUGGAGGUCUCCCUGUGGCCACCUCUG